CAUCUCUUCUCAUGUGUCACUUUGCCAAGAAAGUGUCCCCUUACCUACUCAACUCAUCACGUCCCCCUACCGUAGCUCACAUAACACCACGUACCUCUCGCUUACAGCCUUAAUCACAUUUCACAUCCAGUUUCAGUCCACCUAUUUUGCACCUCCUUCUCUGGGAAGACUUCACUGAGAAUCCAAGCGAUUUCUGGAUCCCUUCUCUCCCCUGAAGCUGUAAACAGUUUAACAAGACACGUGCGGAACUGCCGUAAGACCUCUCGAUGGCAGGUGUUGCUCCAUGCCGUGGGUCAGUUUGAGGUCGUUCCCGCACACCUUACCGUGGAGCCCAACUGUGAGGCUGCAGGUCCCUGUCUUCUCGCAGAGUUCAGUGAAACGUAAGAGGUGAACCCAACCACACAAGCCCACGUAAGGCCUCUGCGACUCAUUUAAGGCCGUCGUGUCUUCCCUUGGCCUCCUGGGAACCCCCUGGCCCCAGGAUGCAGCUUCCGUAGCCCAGGACAACCGGCGGAGGGGGGCGGGCGGGGCUGCAGCAGGGUGGAACGCCGAGGUCACAGAGGGUGUGGGUGUGGCCACCUCUGCUGUGACUGAACCAAGGGCAGGGGGG
Molecule: long non-coding RNA, 610 nt
Organism: Lagenorhynchus albirostris (white-beaked dolphin)
Lineage: Eukaryota; Metazoa; Chordata; Mammalia; Artiodactyla; Delphinidae
Exons: 3
Source: RefSeq, a predicted model, not a curated record